This 802-nucleotide ribosomal RNA is filed under the name uncultured Bacillota bacterium. RNAcentral's name for it is "bacterial SSU rRNA". It matches the Rfam family "Bacterial small subunit ribosomal RNA", at positions 58 to 837 of the family's 1533-position model. Lineage: Bacteria; Bacillati; Bacillota. The record is from RNAcentral.
CAAGUCGGACGCGAAAGGGGGCUUCGGCCCCCGAGUAGAGUGGCGCACGGGUGAGUAACACGUGGGUAAUCUGCCUUUGGGUGGGGAAUAACACUUCGAAAGGGGUGCUAAUACCGCAUAACGCAGCGGCACCGCAUGGUGGCAGUUGUUAAAGUGGGGGAUCUUCGGACCUCACGCCUAAAGAGGAGCCCGCGCCCGAUUAGCUAGUUGGUGAGGUAACGGCUCACCAAGGCGACGAUCGGUAGCCGGCCUGAGAGGGCGGUCGGCCACACUGGCACUGAGAUACGGGCCAGACUCCUACGGGAGGCAGCAGUGGGGAAUUUUGGGCAAUGGGCGAAAGCCUGACCCAGCAACGCCGCGUGAAGGACGAAAUCCCUUCGGGAUGUAAACUUCAAAAGUUGGGGAAGAAAUGCCGGGGGCCAACACCCUCCGGAAAUGACGGUACCCAACGUAAGCCCCGGCUAACUACGUGCCAGCAGCCGCGGUAAUACGUAGGGGGCAAGCGUUGUUCGGAAUUACUGGGCGUAAAGGGCGCGUAGGCGGCACGGCAAGUCAGGAGUGAAAGCCCGGGGCUCAACCCCGGAACUGCUUUUGAAACUGCCGAGCUAGAGUGCGGAAGGGGCAACUGGAAUUCCCAGUGUAGCGGUGAAAUGCGUAGAUAUUGGGAAGAACACCUGAGGCGAAGGCGGGUUGCUGGGCCGACACUGACGCUGAUGCGCGAAAGCCAGGGGAGCGAACGGGAUUAGAUACCCCGGUAGUCCUGGCCCUAAACGAUGGAUACUUGGUGUGUGGGGGUUUUCUC